AAAUACCUAAAAUCCAAAACCUAGAGCUAGCACAAGACCUAGAUGCCUAAAAAUCCAAUCCGCCAUUUUUGAGAAAAAGGACGAUCCCAUCAGAUUUUCGUUCAUCUGCUUGAGAGUCCAAAAACCUUGGGUUUCAUCUCCUUCAUGGAAAAAGUAACCUAAACCUAAGACCCUUAAGGAUCCGUUAUGCUUCUUCCUCAACAAUAAACCAAGGAAACCCAUCUUCUUCAACGAAGGGCAGCAGCGACCAGACACCAACCAUCGCCGCCGCUGACCACUUUCUUCUUCUUCAUCUUGCCGGUGAUGACCUCCUCCAAUUCCAGCCAGCAAUCAGCUGUUGUUGAACACCAUGAACGCAUCUGAAAUAACCACCAAAUAACAGCUUCACGAAUUUCAGCCCUUCAGUCAAUCUUUUGUUCGUGGGAUUUUAUUUUCGGUGAUAUCUCAUCAAUUGUUGGUCGAGAUUCAUCGAGGUUGCUGGCGCCAUCUUCGAUUUGUGCCGAUUUUGGGAUCUAAUAUGAGAUUCCAGCAGCAGUAGUUGUCAACUUCAGUCAUCGUUGGAGAGUCGAGGUCCUUCGUUGAGUCUUGGUUGCGAUUCUUUGCUCGAAAUUGUUUCAAUUUUCGUAUUGGAUUUCAGAUCUGAGGAGUUAUACCAAAUAGAACAAGGCUAGGCCAGCAACAAGGCUGGAUAAACUUCAGUGCUCCCGGUACGUUGCCCCCUCUUUGGCUCGAGUUGUCCGCUCGGGUAAGCCAGGUCAAGAACACAACUCCAGGUUUUAAAACCUAGAAAAACACAGCCUCAUGCCGGAUCCCUAGUAGGAACAUUUGUUUGAAUCACGUGCAUUUGACUUUGAGGACUCAAUACAAGGGUUGGUCCGUCUAUGACAGGUGUACCCAAAAAUAAAAGACCAUCCUGAUGCAUCCUAUGUGCUACAUACUACAUUUCUUCCAGGGUAAAAGGGUCAUUUGGUGGACCAAUGAUGACUGAGGGUAAAUGAGGAAGAAAAGAGGGUGAAUUGUGAAAAUAAAGCAAGUAGGGCACAAUUAUUUUUUCUGUCACGUUUUGUUAAGAAAAAGACAAAAAAAAAACAUGAAAAAUUCAAUAAAAAAAAGGAUUUUGCACUUUUUCA
Long non-coding RNA from Nicotiana tabacum (common tobacco), 1130 nucleotides. RefSeq lists it as uncharacterized. The record is from RefSeq and is a predicted model, not a curated record. Lineage: Eukaryota; Viridiplantae; Streptophyta; Magnoliopsida; Solanales; Solanaceae.